This is a long non-coding RNA of Hemibagrus wyckioides, 1866 nucleotides long. RefSeq lists it as uncharacterized. The record is from RefSeq and is a predicted model, not a curated record. The transcript is spliced from 4 exons. Lineage: Eukaryota; Metazoa; Chordata; Actinopteri; Siluriformes; Bagridae.
ACCAACACCUCCAUACUAACACCUCCACACUUACACCACCACAGUAACACCUCCACACUAACACCUCCACCCUUACACCACCACAGUAACACCACCAUACCAACACCCCCAUACUAACACCUCCACACUUACACCACCACAGUAACACCUCCACACUACCACCUCCACACUUACACCACCGCAGUAACACCUCCAUACUACCACCUCCACACUUACACCACCGUAGUAAUACCUCCACGAGUUACAGUAAUAUUGAUUCCAUUUCAGUUCCAGGAGGUAAAACUGUAAGAUGCAUGAAACCUAAACAUUCAGCUAAAAAUCCUCUAGCUAUUGAUUUAUUUGGUUUAUAUUCAUGAUCAAUAAUGAUUAAUCAGUUUGUUACUGAUGUUUACCAUGUCACUAAAUCUUUCUACUGAGGGCAUACACAGGGGAAUCAGAUCACAUGCACACUGUUAUAUAAAGGUAUACAUAAACUGAAAAAACGAAUUAAAAUAAACAAAGGCAGGAGUAACUGCUGUGAAGACAAUAAACAGAGGGGAAAAAGUGGUGGAAAAAAGCAGUCUAUAAACAGGAAUAUGAAAUCUAUAACAAUGUUUUAAUAAUGUUUUAAAUAGAGGAAACACAGAGGAGACAAAACAUUAAGCAACCCGAUAACUUUUCUCCUCAGGAGCUCCGUUCUGUGGAAUUCUGCUUUUCAUUUAGCUGUGUGUGUGUGUGUCUGUGUGUGUGUGUGUGUGUGUGUGUGUGUGUUCUCACUUAUUAACACAGCACCCGGCACAUUCCAGUUGCUUUUACUGAAUCUCUUCAUGCAGUACCCGAAUUUUGCCUCCCUCAAGAAAGAAAAGAUUCUUCCCUUGCCAAGCGUCCCAUCAUUCUCCUGCAAGGUCCAGACUGACGAGGCUGCUGAGGCUACUGGAGACACACACACACACACACACACAUUUCAGCAGUUGUGUUGGUGCUGCAGGGAAACAAUUACCCAGGAGAGAGCCAGUGCCAGAGCAUUUUUUCCAGCCAUUAUCAGCAGGGAGGCUGUUAAAUUUGUUCAAUUCGACUUUGAGUGCUGCGAUCUGUUCUCACGCUUUCAGACAAGGAGCUUUUGUUUUUGUCUUUAAGGAGAAACGAGGAAGCAGAAAAUAUCUUGUUGGGACUUUGUAGGGGGCCAAAUAUCUAAAAAAAAAACAAAAGAAACAAGCUAGGUUCUCAUCUCAUUAGUCAUCCAACACCAUCUCACUGUCCACUGUGUUCCAGCGUCCUGUUACUGACUGACAGGAUACACCUGAGUCACUAUCAGGUGUGUGUGUGUGUGUGUCACAAUUACUGAAACUGAAAUCCUAGGAACACUGGGAUUGAGACGUGAAUACACUCUGGAUGAGACACACACACUCAUUCAUCAAUCUGGAUGAAUGUAAUUAGAGAGAAGAGGAGGAAAGCGGAGCUGGAAGACCGAUGUGACAUUUAAGGCGAGAGAGUUUGUCUCGUUCCUGUCUGAAGGACGUUUCUUUCCAGCUGUGUGUGAAAGAUGAAGACUUUGUCGUUCAGCUCUGCUGUGUGUUGCGUUUGUCCAUCCAUGAACAGCGUCUCUAACAAACCCAGAUGUGCUGGACAUGUGUGGUCCAUGGAGGCUCCACCUCACAGGACUUACAGGAUCUGCUGCUUGAGUCUUGAUGUCAGCACACCUUCAGAGAUCUUGUGGAUCUUGACUGAUGUGAACCAUGUGAACUCAUUGUCAUUGCAGCCUGGCCUCCAGCCCCACCCAGUGUAGUUCAACACAAAGCCCACUUCAUCACAAGAGGCCCUCCAGGAUCAUCGAGUACCACCAAUACAUCUGCUGGAUCAAUAAUGCACACAGCAUGUGCUGGUCUG